Molecule: ribosomal RNA, 497 nt
Filed under: Diabrotica porracea
Lineage: Eukaryota; Metazoa; Arthropoda; Insecta; Coleoptera; Chrysomelidae
Description: partial 16S ribosomal RNA
Rfam family: Bacterial large subunit ribosomal RNA (bases 385-497)
Source: RNAcentral
GUCUUUUUGUAUUAAAUAUAAAGUCUCGCCUGCCCACUGAUUAAUUUGAAUGGCCGCGGUAUUUUGACCGUGCUAAGGUAGCAUAAUCAUUAGUUUUUUUAUUGAAAGCUGGAAUGAAGGGUUGGAUGAAAAAAAAACUGUCUUUAUUUAAUUUAUAAAGAAUUUUAUUUUUAAGUUAAAAAGCUUAAAUUUUUUUAAAAGACGAGAAGACCCUAUAGAGUUUUAUAAAAUUAUUAAUAAGUUUUUUUAGUAUUAAAUUUAUUUAUAUAAUAAAUUUAUUUAAUUGGGGUGAUUAAAAAAUAAAUUUAACUUUUUUUAUAUUAUUAUAUUAAUUAAUAAUUUUUUGAUCCAAUUUUUUUGAUUAUAAGAAUAAAUUACCUUAGGGAUAACAGCGUAAUUUUAUUGGAGAGUUCAAAUCGAUAAUAAAGAUUGCGACCUCGAUGUUGGAUUAAAGUUUAUAAUUGGUGUAGCAGCUAUAUUAUUAAGUCUGUUCGACU